GACGAACGCUGGCGGCGUGCCUAACACAUGCAAGUCGAACGGAAAGGCCCUGCUUUUGUGGUGUUCUCGAGUGCCGAACGCGGGAGUAACACGUGUGUAACCUGCCCUUGUCUUUGGGAUAACUUCACGAAACUGGGGCUAAUAUCGGAUAGGAGCUCCUGCUCCGUGGGGGGGGUUGGAAAGUUUCGGCGGUUGGGGAUGGACUCGCGGCUUAUCAGCUUGUUGGUGGGGUAGUGGCUUACCCAGCCUUUGACGGGUACCCGGCCUGAGAGGGUGACCGGCGACAUUGGGACUGAGAUACGGCCCAGACGGGUACGGGAGGCAGCAGGGGGGAAUAUUGCACAAUGGGCGGAAGCCUGAUGCAGCAGCGCCGCGUGCGGGAUGACGGCCUUCGGGUUGUAAACCGCUUUCGCCUGUGACGAAGCGGGAGUGACGGUAAUGGGUAAAGAAGCACCGGCUAACUACGUG
Molecule: ribosomal RNA, 468 nt
Filed under: uncultured bacterium
Lineage: Bacteria
Description: partial 16S ribosomal RNA
Rfam family: Bacterial small subunit ribosomal RNA
Source: RNAcentral